Long non-coding RNA from Monodelphis domestica (gray short-tailed opossum), 1851 nucleotides. The record is from Ensembl. Lineage: Eukaryota; Metazoa; Chordata; Mammalia; Didelphimorphia; Didelphidae.
GCCUGGUAUGAUUCACUGGCACAAUGCCCACCUUUACUCAAGACCCCAUCACUGCUUACCUGGACUAUUGAAAUGGUUUCCAGACUAAUUUCCCCUUUUCCAAUGUCUCACUGCCAGAGUAAUUUGCCUAAACCUCUUAUCUGAUAUAGAAACUUAUUUAUAUUAGCAGAAGAAAAGCCCUCACUGUCUAGCUUGGUGAGACUCUAGGUGAUGGAGGAACUGCAUGAACCUUAAUGAAAAUAGUGCUAUUUACUCCUUUUCUUGGAAUAGUCUUGCCUGAGAUGAGACAUACACAGGGUCACAGAAGAGAGCAAAGAACUUAUAUUUAUGAUUUGGGAGAGAAGGAGCAAGAAAGAGGGACAGCCUGAAUGAAGACAAGAAAAAAUGGGGCAAGAGAGAGAGAUCAACUGUGCACCCUGGAAUCUUCUCUUCCCUCAAGAUUCCAAACAUUUACCAUCCCCCGCUAUGGAUGCAAACCUGGUCUUGUCCUCCAAGCUCUGUCCCUCAAAGUCUCUUGAUCAUUCCUAUAUCACAAAUGCAUCAACAGAGAUGAUACUCCAAAGAAACAAUAGAACAUAGGAAUCUUGUAUACUUUUUGGGCAACUUAGGACAUCAAACCUAAACUGACAGGUUGUAAGCAGGCUUGGGAAAGAGGCUAUAGCCAGGGACUAGGGUACCUGGGAGUGGUCUACUAUAAUAUAUACUAAAAGGAUGAUUCCUACACAGGUGUUGGUCUUCUUGGAAUGGAUCUCUGAUAUAAUGGGGGAAAUGUCUAAGACUAAAAUGAUAUUUAACAUUCGAUUAGAUCUACUAGCCCCACUUAAGCUGGGAUCAUCAAAUACUUUAAGGUUUAUUGUUCAGUCUGAAAUGAGGGAGUCUGGGACUUCCCUCUAGUGAGUUCUCAUGGGACAGGGGCAAAUUCAGGGCUCCCCCCCCAAAAAAAACCCAGUUGACAAUACCAGUCUUUAAAAAGCACUUCAAAAAGAUAGGAAUCUAAAUCUAACAGCAAGAUGGAAUCAUGGGACUCUCCCACUGAACAUAAUAUAAAGGUAAGAAGAGAGAGAGUUGAUUUUCAUGGAAUAAGGGGGAACUGGAAGCAAAACUGCACUCAGAAGAGUGCUGUCUGACAACCCCCCCCAAAAAACAACACACACAUACACCUAGUUUCUGUGAUUUGGUGUAGGCUAACUUCAGUAUCCCAGGAUGGGGGUUACACUAGCAGAGGAGCACCUCAGACCAACCCUUUGAAGACUCAGACCUUGGUAUCAGCUGUCAGGGAGGACCAAAAGCCCAUAUAGUUAGGCACUUUUAAAUUGAAAAUACUAAGUAUUCUUAAUUAAAAUGCAUAUUUUCUGAAAAACAGGGUAUAUGUGACCCUGAGCACCUCAAGAUUGUAUCUAUAGCAUUAAUUAUCAUCUACUUAACCAUCAUUUGAACAUUUGCCAUAUUUCCUUUCUUUCCAUUGUUCUUAGUGCCAAUGACCACUCCUAGAUUCCAAGAAGAUAAAAGAUGUCCAAGUGAUGAAAACCCUAGCAUCACUGAGAAGUUCCUGGCUCCAUCCAUUAGCAUUUUCAAGGGUCAAUGAACAUCAUCCCCUUUGCAUAAAUCUUAGGAUCCAUCUACAGUUCCAGAAGUGAUUACUAGUUUCAUAAAUAUGGUAUCUACUCUGGAGUUCUUGAGGUUAUUGUUGAAUUCCCCCCUCCAUUUCUGGAAUUUUAUUUUAAAUUUGGCUUCAACAUCAACCCAACUUUGCUAUAAAUAGCCUAGCUUGUCUGCUUAGUUUGACAGAAAUGAUAAAUCUCUGCAGAGACAUACAGCUAACAUGAAAUAAAUGUACAUUCAAUUAAUGCA